GAGCUGCCGCCGCCGCCGCGCCAGCAGGUCCUAAUGCCUGUCACUUCCCAGGACGUUGGCAGCGGCAGCCCGGAGCCCCUGAGCCCUCGGCAGGUCUGCCUGUCCUUCCCCGCUAUCUGAUUGGAUAAAGUGGGGGCUCGACGGUGGCCGACGUGGGACAGUCUGGCUGUGGCAGGGGUCUCGGAAACCAUGGGUUAUUGCAGUGGCAGGUGCACGCUUAUCUUUAUCUGUGGCAUGCAACUGGUUUGUGUGCUGGAGAGGCAAAUAUUUGAUUUCCUUGGAUAUCAGUGGGCACCUAUCCUGGCAAAUUUUGUACAUAUCAUCAUCGUCAUCCUUGGUUUAUUCGGAACUAUUCAAUAUAGACCUCGUUAUAUAACAGGAUAUGCUGUCUGGCAGGUCCUCUGGGUGACAUGGAAUGUGUUUGUUAUCUGCUUCUAUAUGGAGGCUGGGGAUCUCUCAAAGGAAACAGACCUUAUCCUGACUUUCAAUAUUUCAAUGCACCGAUCUUGGUGGAUGGAGAAUGGACCGGGAUGUAUGGUGACAUCGGUGACACCAGCCCCUGACUGGGCCCCAGAAGAUCAUCGAUACAUCACUGUCUCAGGGUGUUUUCUGGAGUACCAGUACAUAGAAGUGGCUCAUAGCUCCCUCCAGAUUGUCCUUGCACUGGCGGGGUUCAUCUACGCCUGUUAUGUUGUGAAAUGUAUAACUGAAGAAGAGGACAGCUUUGAUUUCAUAGGUGGCUUUGACUCUUACGGCUAUCAAGGGCCUCAGAAGACAUCUCACUUACAACUACAACCAAUGUACAUGCAAAUUCCCUUGGAUAACAACUGAUAGCAAAUUCUAUAUAUCAGCAUCAAGUGAUAUGCUGAAUUGCAAGCGAAGAUGAAAAUAGAAAGUCAAAAUAAUACAAAUGACUUCUGUAUGUCAGCCCAUGGACCUCUCAAAGAACUUCUGUCGCAGUGGCCUUCUGCAGUUUAUGAAGACCAAGAAGCAAAUUAAUUUAAAUAGAUACACAAGUUAUCAGAACAAACAAGAAACAUCUACACACAUACAUACGUGUACACACACACACACACACACACACACCACCACCACCAACAACAACAACAACAACAAUAGCAACACUGUCACAGCAAUUCCUCUGGAUAUUUCUAACUGAAACUGAUAAAUAUGCAGGACACCUCCAUCCUGGAUUCCUGAAAGCAGGCUCCCUUCUCCCAGGCCUUUGAAGUUAGGAAAGAAGACGUGUUGGUGCCCUCUGCUGGCCAUUACUUACUCCUCUGCAGCCCAAUCCAUUGGCCUCUGUGAGCUGCACAGUCGUCCCAGGCACAAUAACUGAGAGUCCUGUUUUCUGCACUCCAUACAUCUUGAUAGCACCACAGCUACUUAGGCAACGUAAUUGCAAAACCAAACAGGACAUGCCGUGAUGACCUUGUACCAAGUGCGAAAUGGCAGGUCGUUUGCCCUAAAGGGUGUACCAUACAAACUUGCCUUAACCCACCUGCGUUGUGUACUGGAGAACCUCAGUGCAGACGUCCCCAGUCACUUCCUUUAGGCUCACACACUGCUAUUAAUUCUGAAUGAUUUCAACUCUGUCUCACAUCAAGGAACAAGACUGAACAGCUCAGCAGCUCCAGUCUGUCUAUGUAAGAAAACCGCCAGCUGUCAGCAAAGUGCUUUACCACUGAGCCUCUGCAGUGGCCAAAAGAGACAAGUACCAACAACAACAAUAACUGUCAUCUUUAUAUCUCUUAAACGUGGUCUUCUGAUGGGUUGGGGUAGAACGAGGUAAAAUUUAGUAAUCUACUAAACUCAUUAAUCUACUGAAAGCAGAAAUGGCUUAACUCACUGAUUUUAUUUCCUGCACUCUAGGUGCUUUUAAAAGUAUCUACAAAUGUCUUUUACUGACACAGGAAACAGCUGUGGAUUUCUAUGACAGAGGCCAACUGACUAUGUAUUAGCUAUGUUUACUCUUUUAUAUCUAAUUCAAAUCCAAGACCCAAUGUAGGUGAACUUUGUUUUCUAACUUCGGCGUACGAGAUUAUUUUUGGGGUGGGUGGGGGGAGCAAUAGUUAACUUGGUGAAAUAUUUGAGAUCUCUUUGUGGUAUUUGGGGGAUCUGUUGUGUGUUAGAGUGUAUUUCAAUCCUCCUGUAUUAUUGUGGCAGAAAAAAACUGUGCUGUUAAUGUAGUUGGCAACGAGAUGCCUUUGGAAACUUAAUAGUAGGUCAAUGUGUUUAUGGAAUAUUCUGAACUCCUAGGAAAUUUUGUUCAAUAUUUUCAAGCACUAUUUGGUUUUCAUUAGUGGAGAACAUAAUUAGCUCAAGCUUAUCAGUAACUCAAAUGAGUCAUGUUUUUCUUGAAUCCACUUGAGACACCAAAAUCAAGUUUUCUUGAACACAUCAUUUUUAAGUACAGUGAAAUUCAGUCUAAGAAAGUUAUACAUUGGCAUGGAGCAACUUUUUUUUAAUCUACGAAGUCUCAGUUAUUGAAUCAACCUUUUUUUGGAUCUUAACCCAUUCAAAUCUACAUAAGGUGAUCCUGUUACUGUAUUUGCAUCGAUGUUUAUAAUCCACACACACACACAACCAUUUAAAAUUGAUGAAAGAACGAAAAGUGACCAUUGGAACAUUCACCACAUGCACAACAAGAUUUCAAGGCUCAGGCUUGAAUUUUCUCUGUGGCUUGUAUACCUUUGUCCAUGCCUACAUGUAUAAAAAG
RNA transcript from Nannospalax galili (Upper Galilee mountains blind mole rat), 2719 nucleotides. It is a transcript of the gene named sodium/potassium transporting ATPase interacting 2, with no coding region annotated. The record is from RefSeq and is a predicted model, not a curated record. The transcript is spliced from 8 exons. Lineage: Eukaryota; Metazoa; Chordata; Mammalia; Rodentia; Spalacidae.